GAGAUAUGUCUUGCCACCCCAGAUGAUUGAGUAAUAUAUAUAUAUAUAUAUAUAUAUAUAUAUAUAUAUAUAUAUAAAUAUAUGUGUGUAUAUUAAUCAAUCAUCUGGGGUGGCAACACAUAGCCA
This is a non-coding RNA of Pelobates cultripes (western spadefoot toad), 126 nucleotides long. The record is from the annotation of a GenBank genome assembly. Lineage: Eukaryota; Metazoa; Chordata; Amphibia; Anura; Pelobatidae.